This 365-nucleotide ribosomal RNA is filed under the name uncultured eukaryote. RNAcentral describes it as "partial 18S ribosomal RNA". It matches the Rfam family "Eukaryotic small subunit ribosomal RNA", at positions 592 to 976 of the family's 1831-position model. The record is from RNAcentral.
CAAUAGUGUAUAUUUAAGUUGUUGCAGUUAAAAAGCUCGUAGUCGGAUUUUGGCUGAGAACGAUCGGUCCGCCGUUAGGUGUGCACUGAUUGGUCUCAGCUUCCUGGUGAGGAGGUGUGCUUCACGGCCACUUAGUCACCGUGGUUACCUUGAAAAAAUUAGAGUGUUCAAAGCGGGCUUACGCUUGAAUAUAUUAGCAUGGAAUAACACCAUAGGACUCCUGUCCUAUUUCGUUGGUCUCGGGACGGGAGUAAUGAUUAAGAGGAACAGUUGGGGGCAUUCGUAUUUCAUUGUCAGAGGUGAAAUUCUUGGAUUUAUGAAAGACGAACUUCUGCGAAAGCAUUUGCCAAGGAUGUUUUCAUUGA